Prunus avium (sweet cherry) is the source of this 447-nucleotide long non-coding RNA. RefSeq lists it as uncharacterized. NCBI's taxonomy places the organism in Eukaryota, Viridiplantae, Streptophyta, Magnoliopsida, Rosales, Rosaceae. The record is from RefSeq and is a predicted model, not a curated record.
UGUUCAUGUUUAAAAAACAGACUUCAACUCAAAAUUCUGAAGAGAAACAUCGCUGCUUCUUCCUUAGCCAUUUUGACUUGGAUUCUUCGAGGACCAAACUUGAAGAAAAAGAAUUGUCGUAUGAAAAAGGGCAAAAGCGAAGACCAAUGAAAAAGAAGUGUUUGGUGGGACAAUUGGUCAAAGUCUACAACAUUGUCUUCGUGCGGAAUGGGUUAAAAGUUGACUUGCUGCGUCAAGACGACUUUUCUUUCAAAUUAAGUUUUGCCCCUAUACUCUACAGUUUGCUUUGGGCUCGUUAAAAGCGUUGAAGGACAAUGUAGAGCUACUCAUGUGGGUUUCAAAAUGAAAUAUGACCCAAUAUCCAUGUACCAAAUUCAGCUUUGUACCAAUAUUCUUGGCAUCUUUAUGGGGACUUGAACCUCUAAUCAACCGUAACCACUACACUAA